RNAcentral lists this ribosomal RNA (879 nucleotides) under uncultured archaeon. RNAcentral describes it as "bacterial SSU rRNA". It matches the Rfam family "Archaeal small subunit ribosomal RNA", at positions 21 to 903 of the family's 1478-position model. The record is from RNAcentral.
AGUCACUGCUAUUGGGGUUCGACUAAGCCAUGCGAGUCCAGAGUGGUUAAGCACUCGGCAGACGGCUCAGUAACACGUGGGUAAUCUACCCUCAGGACAGGGAUAACCCCGGGAAACUGGGGAUAAUACCUGAUAGGUGGAGAGGUCUGGAAUGCCUCUCCGCCGAAAGCUCCGGCGCCUGAGGAUGAGCCUGCGCCCGAUUAGGUUGUUGGCGGUGUAACGGACCACCAAGCCUUAGAUCGGUACGGGCACUGAGAGGUGGAGCCCGGAGAUGGGGGCUGAGACACGGCCCCAGGCCCUACGGGGCGCAGCAGGCGCGAAAACUCCGCAAUACGCGCAAGCGUGACGGGGGAACCCCAAGUGCCUCAUCUUUUUGGUGAGGCUUUUUCAGAGUGUAAACAGCUCUGAGAAUAAAAGCGGGGUAAGACCGGUGCCAGCCGCCGCGGUAACACCGGCCGCUCAAGUGGUGACCGCUAUUAUUGGGCCUAAAGCGUCCGUAGCCGGUUCGGUAAGUCCCUGGGUAAAUCCUGCCGUUUAACGGUAGGAAUUCUGGGGAUACUGCCGGACUCGGGGUCGAGAGAAGUCGGAGGUACUCCGGGGGUAGCGGUGAAAUGCUGUAAUCCUCGGGGGACCACCAGUGGCGAAGGCGUCCGACUAGAGCGGGCCCGACGGUGAGGGACGAAAGCCAGGGGAGCGAACGGGAUUAGAUACCCCGGUAGUCCUGGCCGUAAACGCUGUGGGCUAGGUGUUGCAUGCUCUACGAGGGCAUGCAGUGCCGUAGAGAAGUUGAUAAGCCUACCGCCUGGGAAGUACUACCGCAAGGUAGAAACUUAAAGGAAUUGGCGGGGGARCACCACAAGGGGUGRARUCUUGCGGUUC